UUGUCUCUUCAAUCCUGACGUCCUCCGCUCAGAGAUCAGCUUCAUGCCUCGCAGGCGUUGCAAUUGGAGGUCCCACCGAGAUCUAAGAAAGAGAGAGUCUUCAACAUUAUCAAGGAGGGACAACCCAGGCACAGCGUGAUGGACACCUUGAUUUGAGAUGAUGAGAGUCAGGGAAGACCAGGCCAGCUGGAGUCUAGAGUGCCCAGUCCUAGAGAGAAGAGCACGCCACAGAAGAGGAAUUCCAGAGGUCUUCAGGGGCUCCUCCCUCUGCCUCAGCUGAGCCACAGUCAGUGCUGUAUGUGAAAACUUCCUGAUGCUGAGAUAAAAAUUAUCUAGACACAUUCAAAGAAACAAUGAUGAGUAUAAGCAGCCUAGAAGUAAAAAGAAAACUCAGAAUUCUCAGAACUGCUAAAAAAAAAAUCAAGAUCAAAGUCUAUACUGCCUUCGAGGAACCUGUUUUAAAUAUACAAAACAGGUUGAAAAUAA
This is a long non-coding RNA of Nannospalax galili (Upper Galilee mountains blind mole rat), 486 nucleotides long. RefSeq lists it as uncharacterized. Lineage: Eukaryota; Metazoa; Chordata; Mammalia; Rodentia; Spalacidae. The transcript is spliced from 2 exons. The record is from RefSeq and is a predicted model, not a curated record.